Molecule: ribosomal RNA, 483 nt
Filed under: uncultured bacterium
Lineage: Bacteria
Description: partial 16S ribosomal RNA
Rfam family: Bacterial small subunit ribosomal RNA
Source: RNAcentral
AUUGAACGCUGGCGGCAGGCCUAACACAUGCAAGUCGAGCGGAUGAAGGGAGCUUGCUCCUGGAUUCAGCGGCGGACGGGUGAGUAAUGUCUAGGAAUCUGCCUGGUAGUGGGGGAUAACGUCCGGAAACGGGCGCUAAUACCGCAUACGUCCUGAGGGAGAAAGUGGGGGAUCUUCGGACCUCACGCUAUCAGAUGAGCCUAGGUCGGAUUAGCUAGUUGGUGGGGUAAAGGCCUACCAAGGCGACGAUCCGUAACUGGUCUGAGAGGAUGAUCAGUCACACUGGACUGAGACACGGUCCAGACUCCUACGGGAGGCAGCAGUGGGGAAUAUUGGACAAUGGGCGAAAGCCUGAUCCAGCCAUGCCGCGUGUGUGAAGAAGGUCUUCGGAUUGUAAAGCACUUUAAGUUGGGAGGAAGGGCAGUAAGUUAAUACCUUGCUGUUUUGACGUUACCAACAGAAUAAGCACCGGCUAACUUCGUG